This 253-nucleotide unclassified non-coding RNA is filed under the name uncultured Caryophanaceae bacterium. RNAcentral describes it as "uncultured Planococcaceae bacterium contains 16S-23S intergenic spacer region". It matches the Rfam family "Bacterial small subunit ribosomal RNA", at positions 524 to 776 of the family's 1533-position model. The record is from RNAcentral. Lineage: Bacteria; Bacillati; Bacillota; Bacilli; Caryophanales; Caryophanaceae.
UACGUAGGUGGCAAGCGUUGACCGGAAUUAUUGGGCGUAAAGCGCGCGCAGGCGGCUCGUUAAGUCCGAUGUGAAAGCCCACGGCUCAACCGUGGGGGGUCAUCGGAAACCGGGGAACUUGAGUGCAGAAGAGGAAAGUGGAAUUCCAUGUGUAGCGGUGAAAUGCGUAGAGAUGUGGAGGAACACCAGUGGCGAAGGCGACUUUCUGGUCCGUAACUGACGCUGAGGCGCGAAAGCGUGGGGAGCAAACAGG